CCAGCUCCUGGAAACCAUAGGAGGAGUGAGUGUUCUUGUGCUCAAAUCCUGCUUCCUCAGCCUCUUUGGGUGGCUUCCAGCAAAAUAUUUAAAAAAUAAUAAAAUGUCAAACUUUAAAAACUUCCCAAUACAGGGCUGCCUUCAGAUGUAAUCUAAAAGUAUUGUAGUUCUUUAUCUCCUUGACAUCUGAUGGAAAGGCAUUCCACAGGAAGGGUGCCACUACCGAGAAUGCCCUCUGCCUGGUUCCCUGCAACUUCACUUCUCGCAGUGAGGGAACUACCCAAAGGCCCUCAGGGCUAGACCCAGCAGGCUAUUCUUAUGCUGUUAUGCAGAAGAGAAGAGGAUAGAAAUACAACUAGAAUUACUUGGCUCUGCCUGUCCUUGUCUCUGUCUCCACCUACUUUUGGCCCCUCUGCUUUCCUUCCUACCACUGCCCUAGCUACCAUCAUCUAUUAAUAAAUCAUGUUAGAUCAGUGCCUCCCCUCUCUCUAUAUAUAUGGAGAGAGAGAGAGAGAGAGAGAGAGAGAGAGAGAGAGAGAGAGUACACCCCCCCCGAUCACCCUUUGCCAUCCUGGUACCCUACAGAAAUUUUAGACUACACCUUUCAGCAGCCCCUUGCCAGCACAGCCAUGUGAUGAAAGUUGUACUCCAAAACACCACGGUUAGGGAAGGCUUCCCUGGCCAAGGUGGACCAGACUUCAGGCUUACUGGAUCCACAAAUUCAAGUCUGUUGCAAAACAAAACAAAACAAAACAAAACAAAACAAAACAAAACAAAACAAAACAAAACAAAACAAAACAAACAAAACACAAUUCAGAUCCCAGCAAUGUGUUUUGAGUACCAGAACUGAAUGGAGCUACAGUCCUUCUACAAACCCACCCUGUGUACCCCAAGCUUUCUUCAUUUCAGCACUAUAACUUUGGUCUUGGGAGAAGUCGUUGUCUUGCUGCUGCUGUUGAUCAAUUGGGAAUCAGAAAUCCUUGCCGAUUUACUGCAAAUCACCUAGAGAACAACUUUUUGCACAAUCCCUAUCCCAAGUCAUGAUUCCAAGGAACCAGGCUAAGAUAUUUUCUCUGUCCCACCUUCUUUUCUCUCCAGUUCUGUUGUCUUCUGUCCACCCCCCCCACUCUUCUGCCUUCUUUCCUCUUUCACUCAUGUAUGAACUAACUGAUGUCUGAUCUAUUCAGUAAUUCGGCCCUAAAAAGUAACCUUCAGUUAACUGCUCACAUAACUUGCCUGUCACUUUUGAUCACAGUCAGGGCAUUGUUUUUGCAAGUGUUCUACAGUAAAAAUUACCCGCUUUGCUCUUGUCAAGCAAAUGAGCCCCGAGGCUUAUGUGAAAACCAUUAAUGAUCAAGCCACGGGAGGGACUGGAGCAGUGGGCAUUUUGUGGCUUUGGAAUCCACCCUUCCCUCCCUCCUGAGCCAUUUAGGUUUAAUUAACCUUCAUUAGCUGACAUGGGGAUAUCGCUUGCCUUGAUGUCCAAUUGCAGGGAAUCAGUUUUGACUGCUGAUCACUAGGGAUGCUGCUGUUCCUGUGUGGGUACCCAGGCAGGAAUAUGUCUGUGGAACAGAAAUAAACGAUGACUAAUAUGCUUCAGAAUACCAGCCUUGGGCUUUGGAAGCCAUUCCCAGCUGCCGAAAAAGUUAUUGAUAGAACAAAACAACAGGCAUGCACUCAUACGCUUUUUUUUUCUUCCUCUCACUGCCAUGGUGCGAUUCUGAAAACCAUUUCACCAUUGUUAUAGGAAUAAAUUAUGGGCAUGAUUUGACCAUAAUAAAGUAAUUCUAAGUCAUAAUAAUACAGAAUGUAAGGAUCAGACCAAGGGCCUAGACCAGCACAGGAUCCUGUUCUCACAAUCCCAUUGAUUAGAGAAUUGCAGCUCAAUUCUACCCAGUCCCCUUACAGAACUUACUUCCAAGUAAGUGAGCAUAGAAUUGUGCCUUUAAGCACAUAUUUAACUCCCCAGUUUAAAUCAAUGGGACUGCACUUUGGCCAGAUCAUUGUUAUUUUUAUUAAAUCCCAUUGGCCAUGGUAGGGUUUGUUAGUUAGUAUUCCAAAUCUAGACUCCACACCAUGGAAACUAACAGCAGACAUACACAAAAGGGAAGAGGAAAUGUUGCAAAAAUAAAACAAAAACCAAGAUUACAUAAAAUCACGGAUACCAUAACACAAGAGUACAGUCCAUUUCCCUCUCAGAUUUUCUGCUGAAAGCAAACAAAGUCGACCUCCUAAUUCUCACUGGAUUCUCAAGCAAAAACUGAUGGGCUUUGGCUUUGAGCAUAGCUGUAUCGACAAGCAAAGAGCUAAGAUAAUUUCCCCUUUCUGGGGCAUAGAUCUUAGAAGGCAAGCCACAAGUCCUGGUCUGGCUAAAGUUAGUUCUGUUGUAAGUCGCAUUGAAACGAAUGGAACAAAUUAAUAGUGACCAUUUCCUUCCAUUGCUUAACUGGAGCUCACUUUAGCCGGAUCAGAACUCUCAGCUGAAAUCCUAGUCUGUUAAAGUUAGUGAGAGAUUUUUUUGUGGAGCAAGAUUUCAUGUCUCCCAAUUCUUCUCCUUUCAAAUAGCCCUGACUGAUAGUUUCUCCAAAAUAAAAUGCAUCCAACCUCUGGUUCAUGCACGCAUUGAGGCUUAGAUGUCAAACCCAUUAAUAUUAGGCGGGCACCUAUGCUGCAUUGUUUUUGGCAACUGCUAAACACUUUUUUUUUGUUUAGACAAGUCUACCAAGACAUGUAACUUUAACAUGCAAUUUUAACACACCAUAGGUAGGUAGGUAGGUCAAAUUUAUGUCAAUUUGUUUUCAAUGUUUGAUUUUUGUUUUGUAUUUUAAAUGACAAAUUGAUAUGGCUUUUGCAAGAUGCUUAGAGGUUUUCAAAAUUAAGAGGUAUAUAAAUUUUGUCAUAUAUGAGAAUUUCACUUUAAACUGAAAAAAAUAAUUACUAGUAGGAUUAGGUAAAGGUAAAGGGACCCCUGACAGUUAAGUCCAGUUGUGAACGACUCUGGGACUGUGGCGCUCAUCUCGCUUUACAGGCCGAGGGAGCCGGCGUUUGUCCGCAGACAGUUUUUCUGGGUCAUGUGGCCAGCAUUACUAAGCCGCUUCUGGUGAACCAGAGCAGCGUAUGGAAAUGCUGUUUACCUUCCCGCUGGAGUGGUACCUAUUCAUCUACUUGCACUUUUUGGCGUGCUUUCGAAUUGCUAGGUUGGCAGGAGCAGGGACUGAGCAACGGGAGCUCACCGCGUUGCAGGUAUUCGAACCACUGAUUGUGGUUCUGAUUGGCAAGUCCAAGUGGCACAGUGGUUUAAAGCACAGUGCCACCUGCAUCCCAAAUAAGUAGGAUUAAUAUGCCUCAAUAAAGACAAAUUUGGGAAGAGAAAUAAUUUCAAUUGUUUCUGUUAUGAAAGGAAAAGAUGGCAUCCGAAGAAAGUUGAAGUUUGCACCCAGCUGUGUAUACAGGAAGUCUGGAUGGAAAUACAGGAGUUUCAGCAUACUGUGGUAAGCAGGUGCUCCUGUGCAUGCAUCAAGGGGGAAUGAGAAGUAGACCAUCUCUAUGGGGAAAGCUGAGCACAUAGGCCAAUGAAACAUUCCCUGCAUUUAUUCCUUGUUAUCCAAGAAACUCUCACUCGGCCUUAAAUACACCUAACUUGGUCUUGUAAUAACCAAGUGGUUAAACAAUGAAUCCUGGACACUUAAUGCACCAGAGUUCCUUAGACUGUAGAACAACACACGUUCAUUGUGUCGUAUGCAUUUAAAUAAGAACAUUAUUUUGGAAAAGUACCAAGCAGUAUUCCUUGGCACAUCCCAUUGAGACCAAUGGAAUUUAAAAUUGAGAUUGCAGUGUGCUGCUGCUGCUGCUGCUGCUGCUGCUGCUCUCUCUCUCUCUCUCUCUCUCUCUCUGAUGCUUAUUAUUUUUGACACUUUGAUUGGUCCUGGUAAAAGGAUGGUCUGACUGUAGCUUUUGGAUUUUUCCUUGGAAGAGAGGUGAGGGCGUCAGCUGUGAACCAGCAUCUAGCCUGGUGAGAAAGCUCCACCCAAAAGAGACUGUCUUAAAACAGGGAUACUUGUGGUCACUUUCAAGAGCAGCAACUCCCAGUAGCAAGAGUUGAGCUAGCUGUUUUAUUCCCCAUUUUACAAUUCAUGUUCAUUUCAAUCUUGCUUUUGGAUUUAGUAUGUUUGAUUGCACCAUUCCAUUGUAAUAUUAAUUUCAUGCUAUGAUGUGUUUGUUGAAGGACUGACUUUGUCUCGUUUGAGUUAGUUUGAUGUGCUUUGUAACAAAUUGCUUUUUCAGAUGUGACGUUCCAUUGUGAUGUUUGUUCGUGAGCCAUUUUGGGCGUCAUCCACAGUGAAAAAAUGGCACAGAAAGAAGCUAAACAAAAUUAGCCUAACUUCAUUGCUUUGAUUGGCUGAGCAAUGUGCAGGGUUUGUUGUUGCUGCUAUGUUUAUGCUAAUGCAUGUAUUUGCAUAAGCUGUUUGUCACUUCUACUUGUAUUAUUGUGAUAAUAAAUCAGUUAAACAAAAGAAAGCACGGGGAAACUAAUCAGCUCAGUGCAAUGACAAUGUAAAAAAGGUAGUGCCAUUGGUUACAAAUGCAAGAAAAGUUCUUGAAAUGGUUCGCUUGGCACUUUUGUUCCUAAUGCUAUCACCGGUGACACUGUUGACAUUUUCAAUGUUCUUCCAAAGAAGAAAGACGGAAAGUGGAAGAAAUGUAAGCCCCUUUCCUUGUAUUAAACAAUGAUGCACAUAUUAGUAGCUGUUUCUUAGGAUAUUUGGGAGUUGAGAUACAUUGCCUUUGCUAAAAUAAUGCAGUACAACAUGAGGCCUAAUAUGUCAUUGGAAAGACUAAUAUUUAAUGUGCCAUAAGCUUUCAUGAGCCAUUUACCUUUGCAUCAGUUGGUGUACCAAAUUUGGUCAGGGAGACUACCUCAUGCAUUUACUAGACUGGGGGGGGGUGUUUAACCAAUGAAAGGUUAUUCCACAUUAAAAGGUUAAUCUAACCAAUGAAAGGUUAUUUCUCAUUAAAUGCAUUAGCCUUUAAGGAAUCCUUAUAGCUGCUUCUAUUCCAGAUGGAAGUGAAUGAAUGAAAUUAUUCACAGAGAAAAUUAAGAUGCUAGCUUGUAUACAUUCCUGUCAUUUCAGUAAUCAGAAAUGUUUGCAAAACUCAUGGUUUAGGCAGGCUUCCAUAGCCUGGUGCCCUCUAGAUGUUUUGGACUCCAACUCCCAUCAUCCCUGAUCAUUGGUCAUACUAGCUGGGGCUGAUGGAUUUUGUAGUUCAAAACACUGGGAAGGUAUCAGGCCAGUGAAUGCAAAUUUAGAAUAUUGUACAAAAUUCUCCCUCUGUCUCCUUUUGCUUCCCCAUCUACAAAUGGGGCUCCUAUUGUGAUGGAGGAUGCAUUACUACUUGAUUCCCAUCCUCCCCCUGGCCUUCCAUAAAUUACCCAUCAAAUGAUUUAUGCCAGGUAUUCUUAAUAUACUUCAAUUUCCUAUCAGUGAAAUGAGAAUACCGUAAUUGUGUCUCAUAAAAAUGGAUCAAUCACAGAACAAGGGUGGCAUUUAUGGAGAGCUGAGACACCGUUCUCCUCAGGUUUCAGAUCACAUACUUUUUUGUUUUUUAGAAAAAAAAAAUCUAAACCAAAAAUUUCUAAAUCUGUAAGUGGUAUGCAUAAAACAAAAUAACAUAAAAUAAUUAUCAAUAAUCGACAAAAAUUGUGUAUAAAUCCCACAUAGAGUGCAUUAUAACAAUCCAUUAUUGAGGUUGCCAGUACCUGGACUACUGUGGUCAAGCUGUCCUGGUCCAAGAACAGUUGUAGCUGUCAUACUAGCUAAAACUGGUAAAAGCAAUUCCUAGCCACCAAGGCCACUUGGGUCUUCAGUGACAAAGCUGGACCAAGGUGGACCCAGGAGCACUCCCAGAUUGUGUAACCUGCUCCUUCAGAGGGACCCCAGCCCCAUCCAGGGUAGGCGUUUGGCCAAUUUCUCAGACAAGGGAACUAACUGCCCGUAGUGUCUCCAUCUUGCCAGGAUUCAAGCUCAGUUUAUUUCCCUUCAUCCAGCCCACCAAUAAAUCCAGGCCCUGGUCCUGGAAUUGUAUGGCCUCCCUCAAUUCAGAUGCUAUGGAGAAAUGAAUGUGUGAGGCAGAGGACAACUGCUCCCACAGCUCCCCUGAAGGCCCUGUAGGCAAAUUAAAAACUUCAGAUAAAUUUGUGCACAGAAACACAAAACCAGCAAUAGGUGUCUGAAUGUAGAGGUUAAAUUAAAGAGAUGUCAUUGCUUUGCUACUCCCUUCCUGCUUUGCUGGCGUGCUGUACCCAUUCAGGAGCAAUAUUCUCUUGGCCUCCUUGCACCAUCUCCUCUCCCUUGCAUUUCAUCUGCACUCUACUUCGACUAAUAAACUCAAGUCUCUUGCCAAGUUGAGAGGUCUCUUGUCUCGGUCUCAUAAUCUCGGCAUCCUUGGCAGGAUGGCAGCAGCAAUCAAUCCCCAUCUUACUGGCAUAAAAACCAACAGAUUAGAGCAAUAAGGAGGUGUUUAGGUACAAGGGCAACCCCCAUCAGCAUUCCACAUAGGUUUGUAGCAUCAACAAAUAUGCUGGGAUCACCUUUCGGGAGUCAACAGAAAGGGCAGAUAUCAUGGCUGACAGUUUAAUUGCUUUCUCUCCCUCUCCUUUCAUGUCUCUCCUUCCAUUCUGAUACCAUCUUCCUUUUUAAAAAAUUGUAGCCACCAGAUGCUUAAGAACUAAUUCUAAUAUUGUUUGUGAUUCAGCAGUACCCAGGGCUCAGAAAAACGAGGAGAAUAAAUUGCUGGCAAAGUGGUCAUUAACACACAUUUACAUAGGUUAAUUACAAGGGAUAAUGAAGGACACUGCUUUUGCUUCUUCAGUGGGAUGCUUGGGCUGCCAGGAUGGACAAUGCAACAAUAGAAGAUUUCUGCACCUCUGCAAGAUACUUUCUGCUCAGUUCUGAAUAACCUGAUAUUAACUAUGGCUCGUCCAACAUGAAAUGCAGAAAUGGUGGUAGAAGCCUCAUAAGUUUUACACCUUUCUCAUUUCUAGGCUAGCUAUACAGGCAAACAUCACAUUUGGCCCUACCUUGUAGUACUUGAGUGGCCAAAUUCAUGCCUUAAGGCUUAAUUCUGACUUUCCUGCCUGUUCUUCCCACUCUAUCAUUGUUCUGGAAUGCAGUUUUCUUAUAUUCUAAUUGUAACUGUUCCUAUUGCUGAGAAUUAAAAUGCCAUGUCUCAGAAAGGAAGAUUUUAGCUGGCGUCUAUUACUCUAUAAGCAAUGUACCCUAUAAACAUAGAGCAAUAGAAUCAUAGAUGUUUAGAGUUAGAAGUCCAGCAUCCUGCAGAAUCUACAGUGUAGAAUGCAACUACAACAUCACUGAGAAAUGGCCAUUCAGGCUCUUCCAGUGAAGUAGAGUCCACCAUCUUCUGAGGUGGUCUGUUCCAAUGUCAACACAUUACCAUUAGGAAGUUCAGUCAAAAUGUCCUCCCUUUCCAUUUCCACAACUUAGUUAUUGUCCUGCUCCCCGCAGGAACAGAGAACGAGUCUGUCCCAUCUUCUGUAUGAUACGUAUUUGAAAUUAGAUACGUAUUUGAAAUUACUGCCAUGUCUUCCAUUAACGGUCUCAUCUCUGACCUAAAUAUACCAAACACUUUCAACUGUUCCUAAUAAGCCUUAGUUCCAGGGACCCCUAACCACCCUAGCUGCCCUCCUCUGGGCAUGUUUCAGUUGGUCAAUGCUCUUCUUAAAAUGUAGCAGCCAGAAUUGGACACACUACAGAUGCAGUGCAAAAUAGAAUGGAAAUAUUUCUUCUUGUGAACUGCAACACACUUUUGUGAAUGUCACUUUGGAUUUACAGUUCUGAGUUCACUUUUUGCCACUGCAGACUUCCAAUAUUAGCAAAUACAGGAUGCUAUCACCCUACUCUUGUGACUGAUUUCACAUGGAGCCAUGAACAUGGAAUGGGAAGCCACUCAUUCUGGUGUUUCAUGUGUAUGCUGACACAUUCUAGAUGGCCUGGAUUGAAAACACUGAUCUUUACAUCUUAUGGAAAUAUGUUCAUUUUUUUAGCUUGGAAGGCACAAAUUAAUUUCCAAUUACAGAACUACUUUGUAUGACUGAAGGGUUCCUUACCAUAUCAGAUUUAGAUAGGCAUCAUUCUGCUUUUAGCUUGUAUAUAAACUAUUACUAUCAAUGUCAUAAUUAAGAUAUUAUAUAUCAUAUAGUGAUCAAAGCAUAAUGACUAGAAAAGGGGGGGGGGAAUAUGGUCAUGACUGUAUGGAAGGUACUUACAUAAAGGAAACUUAGGAGAGGGAUAAAAUGGACUAUAAAUGCUAUAUUAUAGUUUCUUAAUGCUUUUUCAUGAUUUAUUUGAUCCUUCUACAAUGUAAUCACAUUUCAAGCCACUCUCAUUUCCAAAAUAGAUUUCCCAGGGACAAGACCAAAAAAUGUGUGUUCUUUUUAUUUGGGGUAGGAAGACAUGAAAUGGAACACAGGACAACUGCACCUGAAAGAAUUGUAUUUAAGAAGGCCCUGCUAGAUUUCAGAUAUACUUCAUUCAAAUUAUCUGAAAUUUGUCCAGAUCAUAUCCCUUGCCAGAUACAGUCUGCAUCCCAAAUUUGCCUCACUAAUAUAUCAGCCAUUUCUCCACAUUGAAGUUUUGCUAACUUUUUGCUAUAAAUGAUUGAUUACAUGAUUGAGAAUUUCACAGUUCCUGAGCUAAGGAAGGAGCAAUUAUGAAUAAAACAGAAAGGAAGGAGAUUUCUAGAACUUUGGGUAAAUUGCAGCCAAAGAUGAGCACUUUUGUGUCCCACUGAUUUAAACAGCAAGAGUUACUCAUCCUUUUGGGCAAGAAAAAGAUACGGUGUCAAAAGUGCCUGAUUUAAAGAGCAAUUCUUUUUGUGGUAUUCUUGCCAUAAUGGUAGCUUUCGCCCAUUUGCACAACAGAAAGCAUAAGAAGAUAAGAUGAGCCUGCUGGAUCAGGCCAAUGGCCCAUUUAGCUCAGCAUCCUGUUCUCAUAGAAGCCACCCAGAAUGGUGCUAGAAAUAAGUCAACACAAUAAAUCUAUCUUUCUUUGCCUGCAUCAACCGACCAUCUUUGAUUUCAAGCCCAGAGCACUGGGGAUUUUCUGAAAGCAUUACAAUAAGAUCUGUUUAUAUCUCAGGCAACAUAUUUCACCCCAUGCUAUGCAAGGGGUUCCUCCUCCUCCUUGUGCUUGUGUUUUGUUUUUAACAUGCCCAUUGGGUUUCAUUACAAAGUCAGCUCCAAGUCAGUGGUUUGAGAAAUAUUUUUGUAUGCAGGAUGAAGUGUGAAAACAAAUUGGGGGAUCCAGGCUAUGAGGACAUGGGAAAGAUGAGACGGAGGUGUUUCACAGGCGACAGUUUGAUGGUAGAAAUUUAUGUACAUAUCUUUGAAUUCUGUAAUAAUAAUUCAUGCAUCCCAACGGGUGUGUGUUUAUUCUUCUUUGUUUCUUUUUCUGAAAAACAAUGAGUUACCUGAAUUUAGGAUUAGUAACAGUGCCACACUGCAGGCAGAUGCUAAGCAAGUGUACACAUACAGAACUAUCAAAUAUCAUUGUUUCACAUCAUGUGUGUUUGAUUCGUGCGAGAGCUUUUGGCAAAUAUUUUGAUAUCUCAGAGUCAGGAUCUCAGAGGGUUCUGUUGCUGGACUACAUCUAACACUGAAGGGAAGAAAAACUCUGAGCAGUGUGAACCGUGUCAUGCCUCAACUGUUGUUGUGAACUCGCCAUGCCUGUUUAGCCUAAUUAGAAUCCAAACAUUUGGGAUGUCUUUGAAACUCAUACACAAACCCACUGAUGAUCCAAUGAACUUUGCCUCUAUUAAGCUUAACUGACACAUUAGCUGACAGUUUGGUUUUCAUGCAUGGGAAAGUCAUUCAUCUUGUUAAAAAUUAAAUUAUAUUAAAUUAAAGUAUAUUUUCACCUGUGAAUGUACAUAUUCCUCCCUCCCCAGGUCAAUGCACUGAGGGGUCCAGGAGCCUUAGACCACUCUUACUAAAAUCUUACUCUAAAAAGACACAGGGAACAAUGAUUGUUGCUGCUAAUCAGUGUGAAGUAAGAGAUAUAAGAAAGAGAAGAAACCAACCACAAAGUUCACAUGCCUUCCCAGAGUUUCCCAGGAAGAGGGAUUGAUUAUUAAACCACUCUGGGAAUUGUAGCUGUGUGAGGGUAAUAGGAGCCUAUCAACCACUCUCAGCACCCUUAACAAACUAUAGCUCCCAGGAGUCUUUGGGAGAAACCACCAUAACAGUUUAAAGUGGUUUGAUACUGCUUUAAACUGAAUGGGGUAACUGUGCCCCUGAAGGACCAGGUGCGCAGCCUGGGAGUCAUUUUGGACUCACAGCUGUCCAUGAGGCGCAGGUUAAUUCUGUGUCCAGGGCAGCUGUUUACCAGCUCCAUCUGGUAUGCAGGCUGAGACCCUAUCUGCCCACGGACUGUCUCGCCAGAGUGGUGCGUGCUCUAGUUAUCUCCCGCUUGGACUACUGCAAUGGCUCUACGUGGGGCUACCUUUGAAGGUGACUUGGAAACUACAACUAAUACAAAAUGCAGCAGCUAGGCUGGUGACUGGGAGUGGCCGCUGAAACCACAUAACACCGGUCUUGAAAGACCUACAUUGGCUCCCAGUACAUUUCCGAGCACAAUUCAAAGUAUUGGUGCUGACCUUUAAAGCCCUAAACGGCCUCAGUCCUGUAUUCCUGAAGGAGCAUCUCCACCCCCAUCAUUCUGCCCGGACACUGAGGUCCAGCACUGAGGGCCUUCUGGUGGUUCCCUCACUGCAAGAAGCCAAGUUACAGGGAACCAGGCAGAGGGCCUUCUUGGUAGCGGCACCCGCCCUGUGGAACGACCUCCCACCAGAUGUCAAAGAGAAGAACAACUACCAGACUUUUAGAAGACAUCUGAAGGCAGCCCUCUUUAGGGAAGCUUUAAAUGUUUAACAGACUACUGUAUUUUAAUAUUUUGUUGGAAGCCGCCCAGAGUGGCUGGGGAAACCCAGCCAGAUGGGUGGGGUAUAAAUAUUAAAUUUAUUAAAUUUAUUAUAUUAUUAUUAUUAUUAUUAUUAUUAUUAUUAAAGGUAGAUGGCAGGUUAGAGGAGUGUGUGUGUGUGUGUGUGUGUGUGUGCAUAUAUCUUUGGGAAAGCUAAUCCCAUCCUAGAGUUUCCAAAGGGCUCCCACAUCUCCUUCCCCACUGCCUAUCAGCAGGGCAAAUUUCUCUUUCAGCGAUGCUUGGUUGUUGGAAAAGAUGUCAAUGAAAGGAUGCAGAAUUCAUUUUAAAGAGAGCUGUUAAGAAUUUUUUUGACAUUUGACAUGUGGAAAGGUUACCACACACAACGUUUCCCUCCUUUCUUUCCCCUCAUUUCCCUCUUGUCAGUCAUAGUCAAGCCUGGCUGCAUUAUUCCCAUUGAAUGACUUAUUAUUAUUUUUUAGAUACUCACCCUUGAAGAUGAUGCAAAAAGUGCAUGUUCAACAUAUUGCCUGGCUGCAAAACCAAACCAUUGCCUUCUUCUUGAUUUGAGAGCAGGGUAGAAAAGGAACAAUAUCCCAUGGUUCCACUCAGAUUACUGAGAAGGUCUUUUUAAAAGUGCAACCAUUGCUUGCAGCACUCAGUCAACUGCCUUAAGACUUGAGAAGUCUACCUUUUCCCACUGCAAAUGCAAAUAUCUGCUUCACAAAUCCUUUUCCUUUCCACUGCAAAAAGGAAAACGGGAAAGCAGCUGGAUCUACUAAAGGCUCUGUGAUCUGCUCCUCAGCUUAGAACCUCAGGUGGCUGGGAGGCCCAGAAUCCAGCAGGGGCUGCAAUGGUCUCUAGCUUUCCUCCUCCUCUUUGUUGUUUCUGCCUCUUCCACUGCCCAUUCAAGCGUUCAAGAAGUGACAAGAUUAAACAGGAGCAACAGCCUCCACUUGCCUUGCUAUUUCCUCCCAGGCAAUGAAGCUCACCUGUAUUUGGCUCCUUUCAAACACAGGUGAAAUCUGUGAUCUAGUUGAAUGGCUUUCCAAGGAUAAAUCCACAAAGCACAUCCAGUGCAUGUUCAAAGCGCAGUAUGUCUCCCCAAAGAAUCCUGGGAGAAUCCUGGGUUCACAGAGCUAUGAUUUCCAGCAUGUAUAAUAAACAAUAUCUCCUAGAAUUCCUUGGGAUAAGUCAUUUGUUUGGAAUGCACGGUGGGGACCUGCCCCAAGAAGUAUGCAGUCAUAUUACCUCUUAAGAAAUCAGUGUGAGGAAUGGUGAGAUUCAGCUCAGGGGGAAGAACAAAAAUCUGAUUGUAUUUAAAUUUUAGCUGCCUAUGGUCACAUCUUAAAGGAGAGGAAUAAAAAACGGCAGGGCAGAAACUGGAAUUGUGACCCACAAGAGUUUUAUAUUAGUAAAUUAAGGACAAAUGAGAUUUGGAGGUAUGACCUAGCAGGCAAUGAAAUGUAUUACCAAGACUUUAAUCCUUAGACCUUCUGUCAAAUAGUUUGUGAAUUAUUUUCUGGUUCCAUGCAGAAAUCCAUAAGAAGAGUCCUGUUGAAAGAGACUGAUCCAGAAGUCCAGAGUCCUGCUUCUCACACUGCCCCAUAAGGAGGACUUGAGAGCAAUAACCACCUCCUGCCGUUGUCCCCCAAUGACAGGUACUUAAAGGAAUGGUGCCUCCUGUAUAUCUUGAGAAGGUCUCUCCUCCUGAUUUUGAAUCCAAAGUCUAUAGGGAUUUGAUCGGGGGGGGGGUUAUUUGGAAGGAGUAGCUAAUACCUUUCACAUAUUCAAAGAGGGAAAGGGAAUAGACAAACUAGGGAAUGGAUAAUCUACAGUGUCUGAAAAAAUAAGGAAGCAAAUGGUAACUGCUAAGGGCUGUGCAUCGGCUUUGCAUGUACCUCAGAUGAUGAGGUGAACGGGGUGAUUUGGAGCAGACGUGCACAUUUUCUGAGUUGGAUCACACUAUUGGCAGGUCAUGCUGAAGUGGAUCAGGGAGUCCUCAACCUUCUGAGUGUUGGUUUCUGCUUUCCUUCACUGUGCAGCUCUGCUUGUCACGAGACAGGUGUUUACAUUCCACAGUCUGUACUGUUGGAGUUUCUCACGGGAAAGGGAGACUGGAUGUGACGUACACUGGUUUCCUGGUUUUCUCUGUGUGAUUCUCUCCGAGCUGUCGAGGAGAGAGGAUGCAUUUUCUGCUCCGGCAGAGGCAAGAUGUCUUUCUGUAAUAUACCAGCUUUGAACUGUAAAUAAAGCAAUAAAGAGUAUGCAGCACAUAUUCCUCAUCCUUCCGCUGGGCACAAGACUCUGCUUUAAAUCAACACGUGGUUAUGGGCCCAGAGGUCGAAUCGGAGUGCCGGCAAAGGAUCGGAAUGCAGAGGGACAGAUCGGAACGGAAUCUGCUCUGCGCGUAGAGGUGAUUGAUGAGGUAUGUGCUACUGCUCCGGGCAGCCUGCCAGCUUCAAGUUAAUGGCUUUAUGGCUGGACUUUGAACUUUUAAAGCCGGUUUUGCCGGGAAUAGGCAAAAGGCUCCCAGGCACAAGUCACUAUGCUGGGGAAAUCGAAAGUAACUUUUAAGUGUGCCUUUGUAAUAAGGCAGCUGCAGCAGUGACGCAGCAAGAAUUAAAGCAGCAUAUAUAUGACGCUGAAGGCUAAUGCCAGAGUCAUGAUGGCCCUUCAGGAUGCUUGUGGGAUUCCUAAGCUCAACAAGAAGUGCAUCAUCACAAAGAAAAAUGAUUAUGUAUUGCAUGCAGAAUAUGUUGAUCAUUUGUUUGUUUUGUAUUAUGAUGAUGUGGUGCAGGAUGACACUUGUUGCAUUGCAGGUUCUAACAAAAGUUUGCAUGCAGAAUGUAUUCACGAUUUUCAUCGAAAAUUUGGUCAUUUGCAUUUUGAGGCAGUAUCUAAAAUGCCUGCCUUGGUUGAAGGUAUGACUAUCAAACCCUGCAGGUACCACAUGAAGUGCAAAGCAUGCGCAGCAAACAAGGUGAAAAUGGCUGCGAAAGGUAAGGUGUCUAGUAGGAAAGCUACAGAACCAUACCAGGUUGUUCAUGCUGAUUUGGUUGGACCACUAGCGCCCUCUUUGGGUGGAAAUAGAUACUUCAUGGUUCUCAUUGAUGCAUUUUCUAGAUAUAUUUUUGUGUACAAUCUCAAGCAGAAAUCGGAGGCUUUUCCUAGGUUCAAGGAAUUCUGUGCUUGGUUGGAAAAUGUGCAUGGUAAGAAGAUAAAGACUCUUUUCAGUGAUCGCGGGGGGGAAUUCACUUCUCAGCAGUUUGAAGCUUUUCUGACUGAGAAAGGAAUUCAACACGAUUUGUCUAGUCCUCGCUCGCCAUGGCAGAAUGGACUUGCGGAACGGGCAAAUCAGACAUUGCUUCAAGGGUUAAAAGCCUUGCUGCAUGAUGCCAAUCUUCCAGAGAGUUAUUGGGCCGAAUCUCUCUCGUGUUUUGUUUACAGUUACAAUCGCAGGUUAUCUUCAGCGAUUGGUUGUACUUCUAUGAGAAGAUGUUUGGCAAGAAGCCAUACAUCAAACACAUGAAGAUUUUUGGUUCUGACAUGUGGGUUCGCUCACCACAAAACUCCAAGUUAGACAAGCGUGGACUGCAUGGUAUCUUUCUAGGUUAUCAGAAAGGGUCUUACAGAAUAAUGAUGACUGACUCUAAGACAAUUAAGCUCACGAGAAGUGUUGAGUAUAAUGCAAAGUGGGGGGAGAAUGUGGGAAUUUUCCAAUGUUAUCCUGAUGACGGUAAUGAGACUGAGGAUAGUCAAAAGCAACCACAACAGCCCACACCCACUGAUGAAGGUUCUGAGUCUGAAUCUGAAACUGAAUCGGGUGAUUCAGAGGAUUUCGAGAGUGCGAAAGCCUCUAUGCGACCCUCUGAAAGCUCUGAUCAAGAAUUGGAGGAACCAUUGUUCACAAUAGGUCGUUUUCUCCUAAGAAGGAAGAGGAGAGUGUUGAAGACUUAAGGCUAAUUCGUAGGUCACAGAGAGCCACAAAAAGCAAACCUCCAAAGAGAUUUGCUGAUGAGUUUGCUACGAUAGCAGUAACAGCUGUUAAAAGCUCCAAGAAGGUAUUUGAACCUUCAAGUUUCCAAGAAAUCCAGGGUUUGGAUUCAAAGGAAGCUGAGCCAUGGUUAAAUGCCAUGAAGGCUGAGCUUGAUUCCUUAGAAAGGAACAAAACAUGGGAGCUAGUUCCAGUAGUUCCAGGAAUGAAACUGCUUGGAAGCAAAUGGGUCUUCAAAGCGAAGACAGAUCAAAAUGGCAAGAUAGUCAGACACAAAGCCAGAUUGGUAGCCAGAGGUUUUGCACAGGUACCAGGUCAAGACUAUCACGAGACCUAUUCACCCACAGUGAGAUAUGAAAGCAUUAGGCUUAUGCUCAAGCUAGCUGCAGAGGAAAAUCUACACAUUAGUCACCAUGAUAUUAAUACAGCUUUUCUGUACGGAUCUCUAGAUGAAUCACUUUAUAUGCUUCCACCUGAUGGCGUACAGGUAAAACAGGGAUUUGUUUGUGCUCUGAAGAAAUCCCUUUAUGGUCUCAAACAAAGUGCACGGUGUUGGCACACAAAACUCACUGAAGUAUUGUUUUCUCUAGGUUUUCAGCAAGGAAAGCUGAUCCAUGUGUAUUUGUCAAAGAGGAGGGGCAAAAGAAACUGUACUGUUUGUUUUAUGUUGAUGAUUUAUUAUUCUUUUGGAAAGAUGUCGCAAUGUACAAUAACGCCCUAGCUCAACUGAAAGAGCACUUUGACAUGAAAGAUCUUGGUGAGGUAAACAACUACCUAUCUCUGGAAAUAGAGAGAGAUCAAGAUGGUAACAUUCUAGUACACCAGUCACGGAAAAUUGCUGAUGUGUUAAGCAAACUAAAUCUGAUGGAUGCUAACCCUGUAGACACACCGAUGACAACAGGUUAUCAGGUAGAUGACACUGAAGAAGCAUUUUCUGACACUACACUGUACAGGAGUGUGCUAGGCAAGCUAAACUUCAUUGCCAGAUGUUCAAGACCAGACAUUGCUGUUAGCUGUAAUUUGCUAAGCAGACAAGUCAACAAUCCUAGUGUCAAGCACUGGAAAGCUCUGAAACGCAUAGCGCGGUAUUUGAAAGGCACUAUGCAUUACAGACUGAGAUUUAACAAUCAGAAGUCUGGUGGUCUUGAGAUAUUUGCAGAUGCAAGUUUUGGAAGUGACGCUACAGACAGGAAAGGUACGUCUGGAGUUUGCUACAUGUACAAUCAGAGUCUGUUUGAUUGGUCAUGCAAGAAGCAAACAACAGUUAGCUUAAGUACUUGUGAAGCUGAACUGAAUGCACUGUCUUAUUCACUUAAGGAUUGUGAAUGGUUAGUACAAUUGUGCAAAGAUAUGAAAAUUCCUGUCAAAUGUCCAAUCCAGGUUUACCAGGACAACAAAGCAUGUUUGGCUUUGCUGAAGUCUGAAGGUUGUAAGCAAAGCACAAAGCACUUGCAAUUAAAGUUGCAGCAUGCUAGGGAAUGUAUUCAGAAGGGACUCGUAACGGUGUCCUAUAUGCCAGGUAAUAAAAUUCCUGCUGAUGUAUUGUCCAAGAUUGUAUCGAGGGAUCAACACUGUACCUAUGUGCAGAAGUUGGGUUUGUACUGAUACUGUACGAACACGCUGCCCAGUGAUGUUCACAGAAAGGGGGAGGAUGUUGGUUUCUGCUUUCCUUCACUGUGCAGCUCUGCUUGUCACGAGACAGGUGUUUACAUUCCACAGUCUGUACUGUUGGAGUUUCUCACGGGAAAGGGAGACUGGAUGUGACGUACACUGGUUUCCUGGUUUUCACUGUGUGAUUCUCUCCGAGCUGUCGAGGAGAGAGGAUGCAUUUUCUGCUCCGGCAGAGGCAAGAUGUCUUUCUGUAAUAUACCAGCUUUGAACUGUAAAUAAAGCAAUAAAGAGUAUGCAGCACAUAUUCCUCAUCCUUCCGCUGGGCACAAGACUCUGCUUUAAAUCAACACUGAGUAGCUCUAUUGCCUAGUUCCCCUCCCCCCCCGAAAGUUAACUGCACAUCCGUUCUCUCGUUUUCUUCUCAAAGAAAUGUAACCAAUCUGACUGCAGAAAUGCACAGAGCCUGGGAGAGGAUGGGAUGAAGAGAUGGACAGGUCUAGUUUUCAAUUACUGUGAAUUAGUUUCCCAGUACAUGCCAACCACAGUGGAUUUUUUUGGGAAGGAUGCUGAAGUAAAGAAACAGAGUUGUUCUUCAGGUGGGUCAUCAUUCCCCAAAUUUUGGCUGUGAGAGCUGGGGUUAAGUGACGGAGGUAGGCUAUUGAAGUGACCUGCUUCUUUCCAAUCAUUCUUUUUCCUAACACACAGUUCAAAAUUAUUCAUCUCCAUAUCCUUAGAAAGGGCAGCUAUGCCUGCAGUAUGCAUCCAAUUCUUGCAGAAAAUUAAAAAAAAAAAUCCUCCCCCCCCCCCGCUUUAAAACCAGGUUCCCUGCACAGAAAAAACCCUGGAUGGAUCUGUCUAAACAUUGGCAGUUAUAAUUUGUUAUUACAACAGUUCUUUGGCCUGCAAAUCUUAUCCUAUUAUGCAGAAAGCAGAAAAAGAGGGGGGGAAGGUUAAGGGUGUGUUUAGAUUCCCCAUUAUAAUCAACAGAGGUGAAGCACAGCUUUGAUUUAACAGAUCAGAUUCAGGCCCAGAUAAUGAAUCGAUUCAGAAUGGAUCCAAAACGGACCAGGCUGCUCCCAGAUACUACAGGUACAGAUACAAAGACACACUCCUCAUAAUUACUAUAGCAAGUUUCAAGUGGAAAUCUGUACAGAAAGAAAUACCAGUGAAUUAUUAACACAUACUUUCACAUAAACAAGUUUACUGGCAUGUAAACUUGGAUGGCAGCAGUUUCAAACAUAUACUGUAGUUACAUUCUAUCACAGUGAAGUGGAUGCAAGCCCAUUGAAACUAAUGGACCUUAAGCAGACAUAAUUUUGUGUUAGACUGCAGUCUUCAUUUCCUGCAAUAACUUUUCAUUUGCCUUGCUUACUUGUCUGUGAGCCGGCUUGUGCUUAAUAACAUUUUUGUUCUCAACAGCAACAACAGAGCAGUGAAAAGACUCUUCUGAACUGUGUUGCUGGGGUCUCAGGUGGCUCAUUUUGAAGGCCUUCACAUCUUUAAGGCUACACUCAACUUUAUCCUUUCCAUGUAUGAACAGAACCUAUCGUUGCUGCUACUAUAAGAUAAUCAAUGUGACAGGUCAGCUUGCUGUUGUUCGUCUUGUAUUCCCUGGUAAAGUUAAGCAGCUGCAUUGUCGAUCACAAAUUGUCAUUUGAAGAAUAAAAUAAAAUCACAUGCCACCUG
Podarcis lilfordi (Lilford's wall lizard) is the source of this 18246-nucleotide non-coding RNA. Lineage: Eukaryota; Metazoa; Chordata; Lepidosauria; Squamata; Lacertidae. The record is from the annotation of a GenBank genome assembly.